This 498-nucleotide ribosomal RNA is filed under the name uncultured bacterium. RNAcentral describes it as "bacterial SSU rRNA". It matches the Rfam family "Bacterial small subunit ribosomal RNA", at positions 899 to 1397 of the family's 1533-position model. The record is from RNAcentral.
ACUCAAAUGAAUAGACGGGGGCCCGCACAAGCGGAGGAACAUGUGGUUUAAUUCGAUGAUACGCGAGGAACCUUACCUGGGCUUAAAUGUAGGAUGCAUGAGGCGGAAACGUUUCUUUCCUUCGGGACACCCUACAAGGUGCUGCAUGGUUGUCGUCAGCUCGUGCCGUGAGGUGUCGGGUUAAGUCCCAUAACGAGCGCAACCCUUACCGUUAGUUGCCAUCAGGUAAAGCUGGGGACUCUGGCGGGACUGCCACCGUAAGGUGAGAGGAAGGUGGGGAUGACGUCAAAUCAGCACGGCCCUUAUGUCCAGGGCUACACACGUGUUACAAUGGCCGGUACAGAGGGCAGCUACCCCGCGAGGGGAUGCGAAUCUUGAAAGCCGGUCUCAGUUCGGAUUGGAGUCUGCAAUUCGACUCCAUGAAGUUGGAUUCGCUAGUAAUCGCGCAUCAGCCAUGGCGCGGUGAAUACGUUCCCGGGCCUUGUACACACCGCCCGU